GACGAACGCUGGCGGCGUGCUUAACACAUGCAAGUCGAGCGGUAAGGCCCUUUCGGGGGUACACGAGCGGCGAACGGGUGAGUAACACGUGGGUGACCUGCCCUCAGCUCUGGGAUAAGCCUGGGAAACCGGGGUCUAAUACCGGAUAUGACUCCAUGACGCAUGUUGUGGGGUGGAAAGCCUUGUGCGGCUGAGGAUGGGCCCGCGGCCUAUCAGCUUGUUGGUGGGGUGAUGGCCUACCAAGGCGACGACGGGUAGCCGGCCUGAGAGGGCGACCGGCCACACUGGGACUGAGACACGGCCCAGACUCCUACGGGAGGCAGCAGUGGGGAAUCUUGCGCAAUGGGCGAAAGCCUGACGCAGCGACGCCGCGUGAGGGAUGAC
This 384-nucleotide ribosomal RNA is filed under the name uncultured bacterium. RNAcentral describes it as "bacterial SSU rRNA". It matches the Rfam family "Bacterial small subunit ribosomal RNA", at positions 28 to 412 of the family's 1533-position model. The record is from RNAcentral.